UAUUGCACAAUGGGCGAAAGCCUGAUGCAGCGACGCCGCGUGAAGGAUGAAGUAUUUUGGUAUGUAAACUUCUAUCAGCAGGGAAGAAAAUGACGGUACCUGACUAAGAAGCCCCGGCGAACCACGUGCCAGCAGCCGCGGGAAUACGUAGGGGGCAAGCGUUAUCCGGAUUUACUGGGUGUAAAGGGAGCGUAGACGGCGAUGCAAGCCAGAUGUGAAAGCCCGGGGCUCAACCCCGGGACUGCAUUUGGAACUGUGUGGCUGGAGUGUCGGAGAGGCAAGUGGAAUUCCUAGUGUAGCGGUGAAAUGCGUAGAUAUUAGGAGGAACACCAGUGGCGAAGGCGGCUUGCUGGACGAUGACUGACGUUGAUGCUCGAAAGCGUGGGGAGCAAACAGGA
RNAcentral lists this ribosomal RNA (398 nucleotides) under uncultured bacterium. RNAcentral describes it as "bacterial SSU rRNA". It matches the Rfam family "Bacterial small subunit ribosomal RNA", at positions 362 to 777 of the family's 1533-position model. The record is from RNAcentral.